AGAAAAACAGGCGGCGUAGCAGGUGGGCAGCACGUUGCCAUGAUGUGCCGUGGCCCGGCCGUGGCUGGCGUGAUCCCACCAGAGUGAGCUGGAGCAGAUCUGCACCAUGGGCCAAGUUUCUCAGAAAAUACAUGGCUUCCUGCGGGCUGCAGCCUAAUGCCCACGUUCCUCUCGGGGCAGACCGAAGGUUAUUCAACCAGGGCAAAGGACAGCCUUGCAAACCAACUACGUCCUCCUUCUGGAGUUUGUGUGACCCCUGGCCCCUGAGCCCACACCCUCUCGGAGCGGGGUUCCAACUCCGUGGAAGCUCUGCUGAGAUGCAGGUCCCUCCCUCGACACCUGGGGAUUACAAUUAGAGAUGCGAUUUGGAUGGGGACACCGAGAGAAACCAUGACAGGGGCUCUCCAGAGAAGCAGCCCAGCCUUGGGCAACUUAGUUCUCCCAUCUGACCAUCCAACCCAAUAAGGCUGCUGACUCACAUAGGACCAGGACAUAGCAUUCAUUCCUUCUGGAGGAUACAGCAAAAAGAUACCAUCUCAGAAACAGAGAGCAGCCCAUAGCAGACACCAAACCUGCCUUGAUCUUGGACUUCCCAGUCUUCAGAACUUUUCCUUCUCUGCGGCAGAGUGAGAGCAACAGAAAACCCUCCACUGUUAGCUGUUAGCAGAUGCCUCUCAGUGUUCUCUGCUGCUUGGAGGAGUGACCCAUACACUUGUGUCCAGUGAGUGCUGCACCAUGUUGGCCUCUUAAGGAAGCGCUUCGCUUCAGUGCUGUCCAGGACUUCCCACUUUCCUUUACAAGAACUGCGAUUACAUCAGUGGCCCCCGUUAGGGGACUGGGCUACUGUAAUGUGUUUUAAAAAUUAGGUGCCAAGAACAUGUACAAGAAUGUUCACAGCAGCAUUACUCUUAAGAGCCAAGGUGGAAACAAUGCAAACAUCUUUUUUUUUUUUUUUUUCUGAGACAGGGUCUGGCUCUGUCGCCCAGGCUGGAGUGCAGUGGCGCGAUCUCAGCUCACUGCAACCUCCGCCUCCUGGGUUCAAGCAAUUCUCCUGCCUCAGCCUCCCGAGUAGCUCGGACUACAGGCACCCGCCACCAUGCCCAGCUAAUUUUGUAUUUUUAGCAGAGACAGUUUCACCAUGUUGGCCAGGCUGGUCUCAAACUCCUGACCUCAGGUGAUCCACCCACCUCAGCCUCCCAAAGUGCUGGGACUACAGGUGUGAGCCACUGCACCUGGCCUGAAACAAUGCAAACAUCAACUAAUCAAUGGAUAAAAAAAAAUACAUCCACACAAUGGACUAUUACUCUACAAUGAAAAGGAAUACAUUUCUGAUACAUGCUACAACCUGAAUGAACCUUGAAAACAUUAUGUGAAAGAAUCCAGAGCCACAAAAGGUGACACAUUAUGUGAUUCCAUUUAUUGGAAGUGUCCAGAAUAGACAAAUCCAUAAAGACAGAAAGUUUCAUGGGAAUGAAAGGAGUUGGGGUGAAUGGGGGUACAUUUUAAUUUUUUUGAGCUGGAGUCUCACUCUGUUGUCCAGGCUGGAGUGCAGUGGUGCAAUCUUGGCUCACUGCAACUUUCACCUCCUGGGUCAAGUGAUUCUCCUGCCUCAGCCUCCUAAGUAGCUGCAAUUAUAGGUGUGCACCACCACACCCAGCUAAUUUUUGUAUUUUUAUUAGAGACAGGGUUUUGCUGUAUUGGCCAGCAUGGUCUUGAACUCCUGACCUCAAGUGAUCAGCCUGCCUCGGCCUCCCGAAGUGCUGCGAUUACAGGCAUGAGCCACCACACCCGGCCAGGGGGUACACUUUAAAUGGCUGAAUUGAAUGAAGUGUGUUAUAUCUCAAUAAAGCUGUUUUUAAAAAAAGUUAAGAUGCCAGGUUUCUGACCCCACAGUGGCAGGCAACGACCCUGUUCUGUGAGCAUCCGGGAUUAUUUUUGGUAUGGCAGCUGCCCAGGAUUUUUGUGCAGAGCCUUCAUACCUGUCACUGAUGGAGGCUCUCCGAAGUUCAAGCCAAAGCUGGGAUCCGCCUACAAACUGUUUUACAGUUUUCCUUCUUCUCCAAGGUGCAGUGAAAGCGAAGGAACGCUGCUGGACAUGGUGAGACAUGGAGGACUUUGUAAGGGAUAACCUUUGGUUCCCUGAUUUUUUGACAUGAAUCUAACGCUCUGCACCUUCCUCCUUCUUCUUGACAGUGACAUUCAUAAAGGCCAGAAGCUCGGUGUUUUUGUUUCUGUUGUCUGUAUUCUGUAUUCUGUUCCACUAGUCCAUCUGUCCAUCCUUGUACCAAUACUUCACUGUCUUCACAUUACAGUAACUUUUUAGUCUUGGUUCCUGGUAGGAUAAGUCGGAGGUUUGUUGUUCUUCAAGAUCACCUUGGAUAUUCUAGGUCCUUUACAUUUCCAUAUAACAUUUUAGAAACAGCUUGCCAUUUUUCCACCCACAAAAACCAUGCUGGGAUUUGGUUGAGAUGACUUUGACACCACACAUCAGUUUGGGAAGAACCAACAACUUUAUAAUACUGAGUCUUCCAAUGCAUAUACAUAGUAUAUCCCUCCAUUUAGUUACAUUUUGUUAGACUUAUUUCUAAGUAUUUGAUGCUUUUUGAUGCUAUCAUAAAUUAUAUUGUUUUGGCAAUUUCAUUUUCUAUUUGUAGCUGUUAGGUAUAAAUACAGUUUAUUUUUCUGUGUUCACCUGAUACUCAGUGACCUUGCUAAACUAACUUAUUAAUUCUAAUGGUUUAUACAUUUAAAAAUUUACUGUAUAU
This 2765-nucleotide long non-coding RNA is filed under the name Homo sapiens (human). RNAcentral describes it as "novel transcript, antisense to CLEC18B". Lineage: Eukaryota; Metazoa; Chordata; Mammalia; Primates; Hominidae. The record is from RNAcentral.